UACAGAGGGUGCGAGCGUUGUCCGGAAUUACUGGGCGUAAAGCGUGCGCAGGCGGUUAUGUAAGACAGUUGUGAAAUCCCCGGGCUCAACCUGGGAACUGCAUCUGUGACUGCAUAGCUAGAGUACGGUAGAGGGGGAUGGAAUUCCGCGUGUAGCAGUGAAAUGCGUAGAUAUGCGGAGGAACACCGAUGGCGAAGGCAAUCCCCUGGACCUGUACUGACGCUCAUGCACGAAAGCGUGGGGAGCAAACAGG
RNAcentral lists this ribosomal RNA (253 nucleotides) under uncultured bacterium. RNAcentral describes it as "partial 16S ribosomal RNA". It matches the Rfam family "Bacterial small subunit ribosomal RNA", at positions 524 to 776 of the family's 1533-position model. The record is from RNAcentral.